GAAUAUUGCGCAAUGGACGAAAGUCUGACGCAGCGACGCCGCGUGGAGGAUGAAGGCCUUCGGGUUGUAAACUCCUUUUGCCAAGCCAUUCACAACUUGGCGAAUAAGCCCCUACUAACUACGUGCCAGAAGUCUCGGUAAUACGUAGGGGGCUAGCGUUAUCCGGAUUCAUUGGGCGUAAAGUGUGCGUAGGCGUUCCGUAAAGUCUUCACUUAAAGACCGAGGCUUACCCUCGGGAGUGGUGAGGAUACUCACGGAAUUGAGGAUUGGCAAGGAAGCUGGAACAGUUAGUGUAGCAGUGAAAUGCGUUGAUAUUAACUGGAACACCAAGGGCGAAGGCAGGCUUCUGUGCUUUUCCUGACGCUGAGGCACGAAAGCUAGGGUAGCGAAACAG
This 394-nucleotide ribosomal RNA is filed under the name uncultured bacterium. RNAcentral's name for it is "bacterial SSU rRNA". It matches the Rfam family "Bacterial small subunit ribosomal RNA", at positions 359 to 776 of the family's 1533-position model. The record is from RNAcentral.